Molecule: ribosomal RNA, 1010 nt
Filed under: Bacillus subtilis
Lineage: Bacteria; Bacillati; Bacillota; Bacilli; Caryophanales; Bacillaceae
Description: partial 16S ribosomal RNA
Rfam family: Bacterial small subunit ribosomal RNA (bases 1-489)
Source: RNAcentral
UGGGGCCUUUCCCCCUUUGAUUGUUUAGCGGGCGGACGGGCCGCCCGUUUACACGUGGGUAACCUGCCUGUAAGACUGGGAUAACUCCGGGAAACCGGGGCUAAUACCGGAUGGUUGUUUGAACCGCAUGGUUCAAACAUAAAAGGUGGCUUCGGCUACCACUUACAGAUGGACCCGCGGCGCAUUAGCUAGUUGGUGAGGUAACGGCUCACCAAGGCAACGAUGCGUAGCCGACCUGAGAGGGUGAUCGGCCACACUGGGACUGAGACACGGCCCAGACUCCUACGGGAGGCAGCAGUAGGGAAUCUUCCGCAAUGGACGAAAGUCUGACGGAGCAACGCCGCGUGAGUGAUGAAGGUUUUCGGAUCGUAAAGCUCUGUUGUUAGGGAAGAACAAGUACCGUUCGAAUAGGGCGGUACCUUGACGGUACCUAACCAGAAAGCCACGGCUAACUACGUGCCAGCAGCCGGCGGUAAUCUUUAUUUACCGCCGGCUGCUGCCGUACAAAACCCGAAAAUAUUCAAGAAAUUGCGGCUUGGGCCCGCUCUUUAAAAACAACUUGACUUAUCGGAAUAGUUUGUAUAUUCUAACUUAAAGCGGGUUCGCCGGAGUCUCGUGUCACUUUCUGACCUGAGAUUUUUUAUUAGGAGGAAAUAAAUCGCUGAUAGAAAGUUGGAAAAAGAUGAACUCUGCCCACAACAAGAAUGAGGCAACCUUUCAGAGAAGUAGGAAAAGCCGGCACCUCUUUAUGCUUUCCUUGGGAGGGGUCAUCGGAACCGGGCUGUUUUUAAGCUCAGGUUAUACCAUUCAGCAAGCAGGCCCGGCCGGAACGAUACUAGCCUAUUUCGUCGGUGCAGCCAUGGUUUAUUUGGUCAUAAUAAACAUUGGUGAGUCAGCAGUCGCCACGCGAGUGACCGACGCCUGUCUUAAAGUUGGAACAUACAAACUAUGGCGAUAAGUCAAGUUGUUUUAAAGAGCGGCGCAAGCCCGCAAAUUUCUUAAUUUUGCGA